Molecule: transfer RNA, 75 nt
Filed under: Deltaproteobacteria bacterium
Lineage: Bacteria; Pseudomonadati; Myxococcota; Myxococcia
Also listed under: 2 other names
Description: tRNA-Thr
Rfam family: tRNA
About the family: Transfer RNA (tRNA) molecules are approximately 80 nucleotides in length. Their secondary structure includes four short double-helical elements and three loops (D, anti-codon, and T loops). Further hydrogen bonds mediate the characteristic L-shaped molecular structure. tRNAs have two regions of fundamental functional importance: the anti-codon, which is responsible for specific mRNA codon recognition, and the 3' end, to which the tRNAs corresponding amino acid is attached (by aminoacyl-tRNA synthetases). tRNAs cope with the degeneracy of the genetic code in two manners: having more than one tRNA (with a specific anti-codon) for a particular amino acid; and 'wobble' base-pairing, i.e. permitting non-standard base-pairing at the 3rd anti-codon position.
Source: RNAcentral
GCCGGCGUAGCUCAGUGGUAGAGCAGCCGAUUCGUAAUCGGCUGGUCGGGAGUUCAACUCUCCCCGUCGGCUCCA